This 450-nucleotide ribosomal RNA is filed under the name uncultured bacterium. Its description in RNAcentral is "partial 16S ribosomal RNA". It matches the Rfam family "Bacterial small subunit ribosomal RNA", at positions 354 to 796 of the family's 1533-position model. The record is from RNAcentral.
GUGGGGAAUAUUGGACAAUGGGCGAAAGCCUGAUCCAGCCAUGCCGCGUGUGUGAAGAAGGUCUUCGGAUUGUAAAGCACUUUAAGUUGGGAGGAAGGGUAGUAACCUAAUACGUUGCUACUUUGACGUUACCGACAGAAUAAGCACCGGCUAACUUCGUGCCAGCAGCCGCGGUAAUACGAAGGGUGCAAGCGUUAAUCGGAAUUACUGGGCGUAAAGCGCGCGUAGGUGGUUCAGUAAGUUGGAAGUGAAAUCCCCGGGCUCAACCUGGGAACUGCUUUCAAAACUGCUGGGCUAGAGUACGGUAGAGGGUGGUGGAAUUUCCUGUGUAGCGGUGAAAUGCGUAGAUAUAGGAAGGAACACCAGUGGCGAAGGCGACCACCUGGACUGAUACUGACACUGAGGUGCGAAAGCGUGGGGAGCAAACAGGAUUAGAAACCCUAGUAGUCC